Molecule: ribosomal RNA, 494 nt
Filed under: uncultured bacterium
Lineage: Bacteria
Description: partial 16S ribosomal RNA
Rfam family: Bacterial small subunit ribosomal RNA
Source: RNAcentral
GACGAACGCUGGCGGCGUGCCUAACACAUGCAAGUCGAACGGUACAACCCCUUCCAUUUUGGCGGGGGUGGAUGAGUGGCGAACGGGUGAGUAAAACGUCAGUAACCUGCCCCCUACUUCUGGAUAACCCCAUGAAAGUGUGGCUAAUACGGGAUAUUCCGGCUCUGUAUCAUGACGGGUCUGGGUAUGUUAUUGUUCCGGUGGAAGAUCACCUAGUGGCCAAUCAGCCUGUUGUUGGGGUGAUGGCCUACCAACACGGUGACGCAUAGACGGCCUGAGGAGGUGGACGGGCAGGCGGUUGCGGAUACACGGCCAAAACUCCGAGGGGACGCUGCCGAGAGGAAUAUUGCACAAAGAGCGCAAGCCUGAUGCAGCAACGCCGCGAGAGGGAUGAAGCCCUUCAGGUUGAGAACCUCAUUCGUCAGUGUAGCAGUGCUGCUUCGUUUGUGUGUGGGUUGACGGUAGCUGGAGAAUAAGCCCCGGCUAACUACGUG